This 253-nucleotide ribosomal RNA is filed under the name uncultured bacterium. RNAcentral's name for it is "partial 16S ribosomal RNA". It matches the Rfam family "Bacterial small subunit ribosomal RNA", at positions 524 to 776 of the family's 1533-position model. The record is from RNAcentral.
UACGUAGGGUGCGAGCGUUGUCCGGAAUUAUUGGGCGUAAAGGGCUCGUAGGCGGUUUGUCGCGUCGGGAGUGAAAACCCAGGGCUUAACCCUGGGCUGGCUUCCGAUACGGGCAGACUAGAGGUAUGCAGGGGAGAACGGAAUUCCUGGUGUAGCGGUGAAAUGCGCAGAUAUCGGGAGGAACACCGGUGGCGAAGGCGGCGACCUGGGUCGACACUGACGCUGAGGAGCGAAAGCGUGGGGAGCGAACAGG